UAGGGAAUCUUCCGCAAUGGACGCAAGUCUGACGGAGCAACGCCGCGUGAGUGAAGAAGGAUUUCGGUUCGUAAAACUCUGUUGUUAGAGAAGAACAGCGCAUAGAGUAACUGUUAUGCGUGUGACGGUAUCUAACCAGAAAGCCACGGCUAACUACGUGCCAGCAGCCGCGGUAAUACGUAGGUGGCAAGCGUUGUCCGGAUUUAUUGGGCGUAAAGCGAGCGCAGGCGGUCAAUUAAGUCUGAUGUGAAAGCCCCCGGCUCAACCGGGGAGGGUCAUUGGAAACUGGUUUACUUGAGUGCAGAAGAGGAGAGUGGAAUUCCAUGUGUAGCGGUGAAAUGCGUAGAUAUAUGGAGGAACACCAGUGGCGAAGGCGACUCUCUGGUCUGUAACUGACGCUGAGGCUCGAAAGCGUGGGUAGCAAACAGG
Molecule: ribosomal RNA, 429 nt
Filed under: Bacteroidota bacterium
Lineage: Bacteria; Pseudomonadati; Bacteroidota
Description: Bacteroidetes bacterium partial 16S ribosomal RNA
Rfam family: Bacterial small subunit ribosomal RNA
Source: RNAcentral